UCUGUGGUUUAACCCACAGUGCCACCCGCAUAUUGAGGAUGCAAUGGAGGCAGCAAAGUAUGCCUUCUUUACUGCCUCCACUGCCACAAGUGAAGCCCUCAGCAGUGUUCAAUUGCUGGAGUUUUCUCCACUCAUGUUUGAGCCGUCUCCCAGCUUGUUUCCUUGCCCUAAACUCUGGAUUAUACCAGGGAGCCAAGGGGACUCCACAAAGUGGGGGAAGGCACUCAGGGGCAAUGGUGUCAACAGCCCGAGCCAUUCGGAUGUUCCAGCAGUUGACUGGGGCUUUGACAGGAGCAUCAGUCAUAUCAGCUGGGGAAACCCAUUGGAAUUUCCAAUUAUUAUCAUCCUAAUAGCUCUCCUGCCUCUACAGAUGGGAAACGGUGCUGAAAGCCUAAAUCUCAGCUCAUCUGUGAAGCUCCCUGGGCUGCCUUGGGCGAGUCACUGUCAGCCUACGUCUCAAGGUUGAUUAUUUUGAUCAUCUAAGCAGAGAAGAUGGGCAGAAAUAUCGAAGAAGCCUCUCAGUCCGGGAAAUGCUUUAAUACACUGUAAUGCCUGUGCGACAAGAGACUGGACCAUGGCUGCGGAGGUUUGGGGGACUAGAAUCUUUGUAGGGCUACACCCCCCUUUGCUCAACAGAGGAGCUUCCGCUGAUUAAGGGUUACACAGAUGUAACCCUUAGGCAGAACACUGAUGCCAGAUCGAUACUGCAGGGUGGGGUCUCCCUUUUAACAUAGCGAUAGAUCAAUCAAAUAUAGAACGCUGCCGACUGGAGAGCAGGAAGCAUUCAAAACAUGGUCCCCACCAGGCUCCUCGUUCUCUCCCUGACCCAACUGCUCUUGGGCUUUAGUUUCAUGUCCAAAAUCUUCCUCUGCUUUCCAAAAAUAAGCCACUGCCACCAUGCUGAAGGGAGAAAAACAAGAAGGGUGGUAUUUUUAGGGCCAUUAAUUCUGACCACGUGCCCAGGAGGUGAACGGAUGGCUAUUGCACAAAGGCUUCUCAUCACUAUGUCCUACGAAGCCAGCAUUCACUUGACGUUCCCUGCUUUUGUUCUCCUGGGCUUUCUGGCUGAGAUUCUCUUUUCCUACCCAGUUGUCGUCAGAACAAAUGGCACCCUGUUGGACAGAGGAUGGGAGUCUAUCUUAUCCAGGUCCCUUGCUGGAAUGUCAGGGGAGAAAUCUGAAGUCAACUGGGAGACUGACUAUUUGCUAGGAAUCAAGAGGCGGCGGAGGCUUUACUGCAACGUGGGCAUUGGGUUUCAUCUCCAGAUAUUUCCAGAUGGACAGAUAAGUGGUAUUCAUGCUGAAAACCAAUACAGUCUCUUGGAAAUAUCAACAGUAGAGAGAGGUGUGGUUAGUCUGUUUGGUGUCAAAAGUGCACUCUUUAUUGCAAUGAACAGCAAAGGGAAAUUAUACGGCACGGCAACUUUUCAAGACGAAUGUAAAUUCAAAGAAAGCCUUCUUCCCAACAACUACAAUGCUUAUGAAUCAGCCAUGUACAAAAGCUUUUACAUAGCACUCAGCAAACAUGGGAGAGCCAAAAGAGGAAGCAAAGUCUCGCUUGCUCAGACUGUCACACACUUUUUACCCAGAUUAUGAAGACCAGAGUCAAAUGUAUUUAAACUGCCCUAUUUCAAUUUGCACAUGAGAAUCAGCUCCCAGGACUUGUUUUCCACACCACUGACCAUCUUUGAUUGCCUUCUCCGAUCCCAUUCCAAUCUCACCUUCUUAAAACGUGGUGCUCAGAACUGGAUACAGUGCCCCAGAUGAGUUUUUACUGCUACAGAAUAAAGUGGAACUGCCAAAUAUACCUCAUAUGCUGACUUAACAUGAACUUAACAUUAGAAACUGUACAUUUGUAGGAAACAAACAU
Podarcis muralis (Common wall lizard) is the source of this 1869-nucleotide non-coding RNA. Lineage: Eukaryota; Metazoa; Chordata; Lepidosauria; Squamata; Lacertidae. The record is from RefSeq and is a predicted model, not a curated record.